RNAcentral lists this ribosomal RNA (222 nucleotides) under uncultured bacterium. RNAcentral's name for it is "partial 16S ribosomal RNA". It matches the Rfam family "Bacterial small subunit ribosomal RNA", at positions 118 to 351 of the family's 1533-position model. The record is from RNAcentral.
UGGGUCAUCUACCUUUUAGGUGGGGAAUAAACCUUGGGAAAACCGGGGCUAAUACCGCAUAAGUUCGUAAGAAGAAAGUCGCAAGACGCCGAAAGAGGAGCCCGCGGCUGAUUAGCUAGUUGGUGAGGUAACGGCUCACCAAGGCAACGAUGCGUAGCCGACCUGAGAGGGUGAUCGGCCACAUUGGAACUGAGACACGGUCCAGACUCCUACGGGAGGCAG